This 540-nucleotide ribosomal RNA is filed under the name Streptomyces sp. RNAcentral describes it as "bacterial SSU rRNA". It matches the Rfam family "Bacterial small subunit ribosomal RNA", at positions 341 to 891 of the family's 1533-position model. The record is from RNAcentral. Lineage: Bacteria; Bacillati; Actinomycetota; Actinomycetes; Kitasatosporales; Streptomycetaceae.
ACGGGAGGCAGCAGUGGGGAAUAUUGCACAAUGGGCGAAAGCCUGAUGCAGCGACGCCGCGUGAGGGAUGACGGCCUUCGGGUUGUAAACCUCUUUCAGCAGGGAAGAAGCGAAAGUGACGGUACCUGCAGAAGAAGCGCCGGCUAACUACGUGCCAGCAGCCGCGGUAAUACGUAGGGCGCGAGCGUUGUCCGGAAUUAUUGGGCGUAAAGAGCUCGUAGGCGGCUUGUCACGUCGGUUGUGAAAGCCCGGGGCUUAACCCCGGGUCUGCAGUCGAUACGGGCAGGCUAGAGUUCGGUAGGGGAGAUCGGAAUUCCUGGUGUAGCGGUGAAAUGCGCAGAUAUCAGGAGGAACACCGGUGGCGAAGGCGGAUCUCUGGGCCGAUACUGACGCUGAGGAGCGAAAGCGUGGGGAGCGAACAGGAUUAGAUACCCUGGUAGUCCACGCCGUAAACGGUGGGCACUAGGUGUGGGCAACAUUCCACGUUGUCCGUGCCGCAGCUAACGCAUUAAGUGCCCCGCCUGGGGAGUACGGCCGCAA